Molecule: long non-coding RNA, 3226 nt
Organism: Nicotiana tabacum (common tobacco)
Lineage: Eukaryota; Viridiplantae; Streptophyta; Magnoliopsida; Solanales; Solanaceae
Source: RefSeq, a predicted model, not a curated record
GAACUAGCCCAUUUCGGUUAAGCCCAUUUACUAGAGAAGUCCAAAUUUGUCAACUCAUUUAACCCAACUUGAAAGCCCAAUUCGCCUAGCCCACACCAUAGAAUCCUCUAGAAUCCUUAACCAAACAACGACGUUACCCUAACUGAUCUCUCCUUCUGCUCCUCUGCGUGUAGUAGCAGAAAGCAAUUUUGGCUUCAUCCCUGUUUUGGUAAAAGGUGCGACUUUCCUCAACCUUAUUCAAAGAAAUGCUCCCCCAUUUUUGUGAAAGUCUCUUGAAUCACUUCAUCGACAUUUGUAGCAGGGUAAGUCACGAGAGGUUAGAUAUUAAUCUUUUCCUUUUGGAAUGGAUUUUUCUUCAUUUCUCAUCUGUUAUCUCAAAAGAUUUUUGACCGUUGUUGAAGGUCUGUCUGGACUCUCAAACGGCUAAUUCUAAAAAUCCCGCCCAAAUUCACUGUUGGGAGAACCCUAAGUUUGGAUGUUUUUGGUGGUAGCCACCAUUUUGAGCUUCAAGGUUUUUCAGUCGCCCACUUCACUUUAAAGGCUUACACGAAUUUUCCACUGCUCAAAGCUGUUCAGUCGCCACUCUACCUCUCAAAUCUUACCAACUAUGAGAAGCCUUUGUCUCGUUUACUUAACUUGAACAACAGAAGAGCUUCACUCUCAAACACUGCCUAGAAUCAAACACUACUCAUUAGCCGUUGUUGUCUCUCUUUAAAAAUUUCUCUGUCUCUAUUGACUUUAAUCACAACAGAGAGAUUUUAGUUCGCUUGAUUCUAAUUCGAAUCUGCCCGUGAUGAAAGAGUAGAUUCGAGAUCGACGACCCCCGUUCACUGCCCAACAACAGCGGAGCCGAAGAGUUUCACUUUGAGACUCAACGACGCCGUAACACCACGUGGAGGCUGCACAUCCCCGAGUCCCUUUUCCAGCUUUUACCGUGUUUAGACAUAAAAAAAAUGCAGUUGUUCUUUUAAUUACAUCAAAAGAAGAUAGGAAAGACUCGGCUUGAACUUACUCUGUAAGAGUUAGCGGGACCAACAAGAUGACAAUUAGAUGUCUUUUUUGUGAUAAGAUUUCAAAUGGGGGAAUCUAUCGUCAAAAAGCGCAUCUAAUCGGUGGUGAUCCAAAUGUCACAUCUUGUCCUAAACUUUCGUCUCAUGUGAAGGAAGAAUUGAAAACAUUCCUUCAAAAAAAGAGAGUUAAAGACUCAAAUGAUUCAUGAACAAAAAUUGUAUAAUCUUGAUGAUGACGAUGAUGAAAUAGAAGAAGGUGACAAUGCUUCCUCGCUUUCAUCAAAAUCACAAAAAUGGGGAAAGAUGCAAACAAUGUCUUCUAGUCGUGGAUCUACUAGCUAAACCAAAGGUCCUAUGGAUUGUUACUUCCCGCAAAAAUUUGGAGAUAAGGAAGGAAAAAGUGAUAAUCCUCAAAUUGAUGCCAAAGCGAUUUUAAGGGAUCAUGCAGUUAUAAUGUUUGCGCGGUGGAUGUCUAAUGCAUGUCUUCCUUUUAAUUGUGUUAAUUAUAUUGACACUUUUUCUGCUUUUAUCGAGGCGUAGGCCAAUAUGGUCCAUGAAUGAAACCUCCAACUUAUCAUGAAGUUAGAGGUCCUUAUCUAAAAAAAGAGGUAGAAGAGGUAAACAAAAUCGCGGAGGAGCACAAAGUAGAAUGGAACAAGUUUGGUUGUUCCAUUAUGAUGGAUAAGUGGACGACAAAAAAUGAAAAAAUGAUCAUCAAUAUAUUGUUGAAUUCUCCUAAGGGAAGCCUGUUUCUUGAGUCUGUUUAUGCAAGCAACUCUUUGACUGAUUCAACCAAAAUGUACUCCUUGUUCAAGAGUACAAUAGACUAUUGGAGCAGAAAAUGUUAUUCAAGUUGUCACGGACAACGCCAGUGAAAAUGUUAAAGCUGGUGAUUUGAUGUCUGUUGGGGUACCCAUAUAUUUAUUGGACUCCGUGUGCAACACAUUGCACUAAAUUUGAUCUUCGGUGAUUUCAAGGAAAGACCCUUCAGUUCAGUCUUUAAUUAGGCAAUUAGAGUGCAUUCCUAUAUUGUUCAAAGGCCUUUGUUAUUGAAUAUGAUGAAGAGAUUCACUAAACAAAGAAGCUUGGUGAAACCUGCAAAGACAAGAUUUGCUACCGCUUUCUUGACUUUGCAUAGGAUGUAUGAGCAAAAAAGCAAUUUGAAGAAGUUGUUUGUUUCAGAUGAGUACACUAACAGUGCCUAUGGAAAGGAAGCUCGAGGGAGAGAAUCUGCAGAUAUUAUACUUUUUCCUUCAUUCUGGAAUAAUGUGGUUCAUGCAUUGAAGAUUGAUGGUCUUUUAGUUAAAGCGCUUCAUUUGGUGGAUGGGGAGAAAAGGCCACCAAUGGGCUACCUUUACGAAGCAAUGGAUAGAGCAAAGGAGGAUAUUCAAGCCUCUUUUAGUGAUUAAAGAAAACACAAUAGAGUCUUUGAGAUCAUAGAUAAAAGGUGGGAUGGUCAGCUUCAUCGCCCUUUGCAUGCAGCUGGACUUGUUUUGAACCUGAAUUGUUUUAUGACAAUGAAGAGAGGAUUCUAGGAGAUGAAGAUUUGUGGAAGGGAUACAUUGAAUGUAUUGAGAAGUUGAUACCUGAAGAAUCUGUACAAGAUAAAAUAACAGAGUAAUUUAGUACUUAUAGGAAUGCUAAGCAACUUUUUGGAAAAACAUGGCGAUUAGACAAAGAAAGAUGAAGUCACCAGUUGAAUGGUGGAAGCAAUAUGGCCAUUUCACUCCAGAUAUACAAAAGUUUGCAAUCAAGGUUCUAAGUCUAACAUGUUGCUCAUCCGGAUGUGAAAGGAAUUGGAGCGUGUUUGAACAUAUUCAUACCAAAAAGAGGAACAAACUAACCUUGAAGCGUCUCAAUGAUCUAGUCUUUAUUAAGUACAAUAGAACAUUGAUGCGUCGUUAAAACGCUCGCAAUGUAACUGAUCCAAUUAGUUUGGACAACAUCGAUGAUGUUAAUGAAUGGCUAACUGGAGUCCCGAAAGAUCAUGCAGAUAAAGAAGUAUUUGAGGAAACUUCUGAUUUCACUUGAGGUGAUAUUGCGGAGGCGCGUGGAAUUGGGGAGAGGAUUUAUGAUUUGAGGGGGAGUACCUCAACUUCAAGUUCACAGAGGAAGGGAAAAGAGGCCGCUACUUUGUCCCUAGUUGAUGAAGAAGAAGAAUUUGAAGAAGAUGACGAGCAAUAUAAUAAUGAUAGUGGAAUACAAGAAUUUGACAA